This 367-nucleotide long non-coding RNA is filed under the name Carica papaya (papaya). Its description in RNAcentral is "long non-coding RNA (CPAP_LNC009943)". Lineage: Eukaryota; Viridiplantae; Streptophyta; Magnoliopsida; Brassicales; Caricaceae. The record is from RNAcentral.
CCGAGCCUAAAUUUCAAGCCGGAGUAUUGCAACUCUCUCCCCUUUAAAGAAAUUUAGUCCCUCAAAUUGCUGCCAUCUCACUAGUCAAAUAGUUGAGGAUACUGGGUCCUGAAAUCUGAUUCCAACUCCCAAGUGGCCUCAUUCUAUAAAUAAUUUUGUCAUAACACCUUGAUGAAGGGAAUCUCUCUGUUGCGAAGCAUUCUACUCUUCCGGUCCAAAAUACCAACUGGUACCUCCUCGUAAGAUAACUCUUCCUGAAGUGGAAGUGGCUCGUAAGAUAAGAUAUUUGAGGGGUCUAAGUUGUACUUGCGUAGCAUUGACACAUAGUAUAUAUUAUGGACUCUAGAUAGUUCUGGAGGUAGUGAUA